GAGUUUGAUCCUGGCUCAGGAUGAACGCUAGCGGCAGGCCUAACACAUGCAAGUCGAACGGUAACAUAAGAGCUUGCUCUUGAUGACGAGUGGCGCACGGGUGAGUAACGCGUAUGCAAUCUACCUACAACUGAGGGAUAGCCCAGAGAAAUUUGGAUUAAUACCUCAUAAUAAUAUUUUUUGGCAUCAUUAAAUAUUUAAHACUCCGGUGGUUAUAGAUGAGCAUGCGUUCUAUUAGUUUGUUGGUGAGGUAAAAGCUCACCAAGACUACGAUAGAUAGGGGGCCUGAAAGGUGAUCCCCCACACUGGUACUGAGACACGGACCAGACUCCUACGGGAGGCAGCAGUGAGGAAUAUUGCACAAUGGAGGAAACUCUGAUGCAGCCAUGCCGCGUGCAGGAUGACGGCCCUAUGGGUUGUAAACUGCUUUUUUACAAGAAGAAACCUUGGUACGCGUACCAACUUGACGGUAUUGUAAGAAUAAGCACCGGCUAACUCCGUGCCAGCAGCCGCGGUAAUACGGAGGGUGCAAGCGUUAUCCGGAUUUAUUAGGUUUAAAGGGUUCGCAGGCGGAAUUUUAAGUCAGUGGUGAAAGCCUAUAGCUCAACUAUGGAACUGCCAUUGAUACUGAAAUUCUUGAGUAUAGAUGAAGUGGGCGGAAUAUGUCAUGUAGCGGUGAAAUGCAUAGAUAUGACAUGGAACACCAAUUGCGAAGGCAGCUCACUAAACUAUUACUGACGCUCAUGAACGAAAGCAUGGGGAGCGAACAGGAUUAGAUACCCUGGUAGUCCAUGCUGUAAACUAUGAUCACUAGAUGUUGGCGAUAUAUUGUCAGUGUUUUAGAGAAUCGUUAGUGAUCCACCUGGGGAGUACGUCGCAAGAUGGAACUCAAAGGAUUGACGGGGGCCCGCCAACCGGUGAGCAUGU
RNAcentral lists this ribosomal RNA (927 nucleotides) under uncultured Bacteroidota bacterium. Its description in RNAcentral is "bacterial SSU rRNA". It matches the Rfam family "Bacterial small subunit ribosomal RNA", at positions 9 to 942 of the family's 1533-position model. The record is from RNAcentral. Lineage: Bacteria; Pseudomonadati; Bacteroidota.